AAAAGCACUUUGAAAAGAGAGUGCAAGAGAACGUGAAACCGACAUAAUGGAAGCGGAUGGAGCCGACGUAUCUUGUACGUAUUCAAUCGUUCGCUGCGGCGAUCGUCUAUUCGAACAUUCCGCAAGGUUGUCGAGUGGGCGUUCAAUCGUCGUUGUGGGCGAUGCAUUUGCGUGCGGAGUGCGCCGAGUGGGUUGAUAGUGUUGUCGGAUGUGUGUUUAGAGGACUUGAAAUGGCAACAUUUCGAGAACCCUGGACAUGCGGAAGGCGAGUGCUGUUGGCUUGUUGUUGUUGUUCGAGCGGGUGCAUUCGCGGUCGUGCAUUCCGGUGCGGGAGACUUGUGUUCGACACAUGUGUCGGGCGUUCGAUUCUCGUAUCGAGGUGUACGGCUGCCCUCGUUUCGGCAACUCGGUGUAUAGUCGGUCACCCAUUUGACCCGUCUUGAAACACGGACCAAGGAGUUUAAGGUGUACGCAAGUCAUUGAGCUUGUCGAAACUCAAAGGCGUAAUGAAAGUGAGACUCUUGGAGUCGACGAUGUGAACGAGGCGCGUUUCGACGUUCUUCGUGCAACAUCGCCCCGUGAUUUGGACUUGUCCUGUUGCGGAGGUUGAGCGUACGCUUUGAGACCCGAAAGAUGGUGAACUAUGCCUGAACAGGAUGAAGCCAGAGGAAACUCUGGUGGAAGUCCGAAGCGGUUCUGACGUGCAAAUCGAUCGUCUGAUUUGGGUAUAGGGGCGCAAGACUAAUCGAACCAUC
This 755-nucleotide ribosomal RNA is filed under the name Aphelenchoides medicagus. RNAcentral's name for it is "LSU rRNA". It matches the Rfam family "Eukaryotic large subunit ribosomal RNA", at positions 367 to 944 of the family's 3401-position model. The record is from RNAcentral. Lineage: Eukaryota; Metazoa; Nematoda; Chromadorea; Rhabditida; Aphelenchoididae.